Unclassified non-coding RNA from Macaca mulatta (Rhesus monkey), 147 nucleotides. It matches the Rfam family "Metazoan signal recognition particle RNA". From Rfam's summary of the family: The signal recognition particle (SRP) is a universally conserved ribonucleoprotein. The record is from Ensembl. NCBI's taxonomy places the organism in Eukaryota, Metazoa, Chordata, Mammalia, Primates, Cercopithecidae.
GCCGGGCGUGGUGGCGGGCGCCUGUAGUCCCAGCUACUUGGAGGCUGAGGCGGGAGAAUGGCAUGAACCCAGGAGGCGGAGCUUGCAGUGAGCCGAGAUCGCGCCACUGCACUCCAGCCUGGGUGACACAGUGAGACUCCGUCUCAA